ACAAUCCUAAAGAUAGGACGUCCCCUUCGGGGGCAGAGUGACAGGUGGUGCAUGGUUGUCGUCAGCUCGUGUCGUGAGAUGUUGGGUUAAGUCCCGCAACGAGCGCAACCCUUGAUCUUAGUUGCCAGCAUUCAGUUGGGCACUCUAAGGUGACUGCCGGUGACAAACCGGAGGAAGGUGGGGAUGACGUCAAAUCAUCAUGCCCCUUAUGACCUGGGCUACACACGUGCUACAAUGGACAGAACAAAGGGCAGCGAAACCGCGAGGUUAAGCCAAUCCCACAAAUCUGUUCUCAGUUCGGAUCGCAGUCUGCAACUCGACUGCGUGAAGCUGGAAUCGCUAGUAAUCGCGGAUCAGCAUGCCGCGGUGAAUACGUUCCCGGGCCUUGUACACACCGCCCGUCACACCACGAGAGUUUGUAACACCCGAAGUCGGUGAGGUAACCUUUUAGGAGCCAGCCGCCGAAGGUGGGACAGAUGAUUGGGGUGAAGUCGUACAAGGGGUACCAAACAAUUUCACUACGCAUGAGCAUGAAAGCUGCUGU
This 544-nucleotide ribosomal RNA is filed under the name Bacillus subtilis. RNAcentral describes it as "bacterial SSU rRNA". It matches the Rfam family "Bacterial small subunit ribosomal RNA", at positions 994 to 1533 of the family's 1533-position model. Lineage: Bacteria; Bacillati; Bacillota; Bacilli; Caryophanales; Bacillaceae. The record is from RNAcentral.